UGGGGAAUUUUGGACAAUUGGGCGAAAGCCUGAUCCAGCAAUGCCGCGUGUGUGAAGAAGGCCUUCGGGUUGUAAAGCACUUUUGUCCGGAAAGAAAUCCUUGGCUCUAAUACAGUCGGGGGAUGACGGUACCGGAAGAAUAAGCACCGGCUAACUACGUGCCAGCAGCCGCGGUAAUACGUAGGGUGCAAGCGUUAAUCGGAAUUACUGGGCGUAAAGCGUGCGCAGGCGGUUUGCUAAGACCGAUGUGAAAUCCCCGGGCUCAACCUGGGAACUGCAUUGGUGACUGGCAGGCUAGAGUAUGGCAGAGGGGGGUAGAAUUCCACGUGUAGCAGUGAAAUGCGUAGAGAUGUGGAGGAAUACCGAUGGCGAAGGCAGCCCCCUGGGCAAUACUGACGCUCAUGCACGAAAGCGUGGGGAGCAAACAGGAUUAGAUACCCUGGUAGUCCACGCCCUAAACGAUGUCAACUAGUUGUUGGGGAUUCAUUUCCUUAGUAACGUAGCUAACGCGUGAAGUUGACCGCCU
This 526-nucleotide ribosomal RNA is filed under the name uncultured bacterium. RNAcentral's name for it is "partial 16S ribosomal RNA". It matches the Rfam family "Bacterial small subunit ribosomal RNA", at positions 355 to 874 of the family's 1533-position model. The record is from RNAcentral.